Non-coding RNA from Paramuricea clavata, 73 nucleotides. The record is from the annotation of a GenBank genome assembly. NCBI's taxonomy places the organism in Eukaryota, Metazoa, Cnidaria, Anthozoa, Malacalcyonacea, Plexauridae.
GACCGCGUGGCUCAGUUGGCAGAGCAUUGGGCUAGUAUUCCAAAGGUCGUAGGUUCGAUUCCCACCGUGGCCA